AUGAAGACUAGAGUGGGUUGCUGGUUCCUUUCUCUUAAUGCAGCCUCCAAGUGCCACUGUGAGGUCUGGAGAGCUGAGAGAAGCACUAAGCAGGCAGGAGACGGCGGGAUGUGGAGUUUGGGAGACCAACACACACAGCAUCUGAAGGCACAGGGUCCACAGAGGGGCUCCGGAAGAACCUUUGCCUUGCACACGUGGUUAGGUUCACUCUUCUGCUCCUCACUAUCCCCUGGCUUAGGUCACGGCCUUCAUCAUCCAGAUGGUAACUUACUCAGGCUCAGGAGACAAAUGCAGGUGCCAGUCGGACAUCCGCGGUCUGACACACCAGCUGGAUCAGAGGCAGUCCUGCCACCUGCUGCCCCUCACCACCUGAGUCCAGGAGGAGCUGAGCUGGGGGGAAGCAAGGCUCCAGACACGAAGCGCCACAAGGUGGAGGCAGAGAACACUGCUGGUGUAGCCCCUGGGGUGGGUGGGUACCUUACAGAGAGGGGACCAGAGGGGGACCACCCAGGGCAAGGAACCCUGGAGCCGGCUCCUCCUCUAUCACUCAACCAUCACCAUCAAGGGCUAGGAAGCCCGGAGCCGGCUCCCUCCUCUCUCCCUCAUCCAUCACCACCCAGGGCGAGGAACCCUGGAGCCGGCUCCUCCUCUCUCCCUCAUCCAUCACCACCCAGGGCGAGGAGCCCUGGAGCCGGCUCCCUCCUCUCCCCCUCAUCCUUCACCUUCCAGGGAGUGGAACCCUGGAGCCGGCUCCCUCCUCUCUCCCUCAUCCAUCACCACCCAGGGAGUGGAAGCCUGGAGCCGGCUCCUUCCUCUCUCCCUCAUCCAUCACCACCCAGGGCGAGGAGCCCUGGAACCAGCUCCCACUCCUCUCUCCCUCAUCCAUCACCACCCAGGGUGAGGAACCCUGGAGCCAGCUCCCUCCUCUCUCCCUCAUCCUUCACACAGGGCGAGGAACCCUGGAGCCGUCUCCUCCUCUCUCCCUCAUCCAUCACCACCCAGGGCAAGGAACCCUGGAGCCGGCUCCUCCUCUAUCACUCAACCAUCACCAUCAAGGGCUAGGAAGCCCGGAGCCGGCUCCCUCCUCUCUCCCUCAUCCAUCACCACCCAGGGCGAAUAACCCUGGAGCCAGCUCCCUCCUCUCUCCCUCAUCCAUCACCACCCAGGGCGAAUAACCCUGGAGCCAGCUCCCUCCUCUCUCCCUCAUCCAUCACCUUCCAGGGAGUGAAACCCUGGAGCCGGCUCCCUCCUCUCUCCCUCAUCCAUCACCACCCAGGGUGAGGAACCCUGGAGCCGGCUCCUCCUCUCCCCCUCAUCCAUCACCUUCCAGGGUGAGGAACCCUGGAGCCGGCACCCUCUCCUCUCUCCCUCAUCCAUCUCGGUGGCUAGGGCUCCAAGCACUUUAAGGGAACAACUUGGUGUCUAAGGAACAAUUGAAGGAAGUCCAAACAAAUGGAAUAUUCAAAUGUGGAGGAAAGAUGAACCAAAAUUAAUCGGAAAGCAAAAUAAGAACUUAAAAAAGCACAUUAAUUGUUCUCAGAUUGCUAAAGAAAAAUGCCUUAACAUUUGUCAAGAACCAUUUAAAGUAAAAUACCACAGGUAGGAUUUGAACAAUAACUUUAUAUAAGUGAAUAACAGAACGUAUUUAACUAUCGUAAAUGUUAAUAAUUUUACAUAAUACAUGUAAAUGUAUUCCAAAGAACAGAGAUUACUUUUUGCUCAGUAC
This 1726-nucleotide long non-coding RNA is filed under the name Oryctolagus cuniculus (rabbit). RNAcentral describes it as "lncRNA (ENSOCUG00000032395.1)". The record is from RNAcentral. Lineage: Eukaryota; Metazoa; Chordata; Mammalia; Lagomorpha; Leporidae.